RNAcentral lists this ribosomal RNA (436 nucleotides) under uncultured Anaerovorax sp. Its description in RNAcentral is "partial 16S ribosomal RNA". It matches the Rfam family "Bacterial small subunit ribosomal RNA", at positions 341 to 792 of the family's 1533-position model. Lineage: Bacteria; Bacillati; Bacillota; Clostridia; Peptostreptococcales; Anaerovoracaceae. The record is from RNAcentral.
ACGGAAGGCAGCAGUGGGGAAUAUUGCACAAUGGAGGAAACUCUGAUGCAGCAACGCCGCGUGAAGGAUGAAGGUCUUCGGAUCGUAAACUUCUGUCCUUGGGGAAGAAACAAAUGACGGUACCCUUGGAGGAAGCCCCGGCUAACUACGUGCCAGCAGCCGCGGUAAUACGUAGGGGGCAAGCGUUAUCCGGAAUUACUGGGCGUAAAGGGUGCGUAGGUGGCUUUGCAAGCGCGGGGUGAAAUACAUCGGCUCAACUGGUGUUAGCCUUGUGAACUGCAUUGCUUGAGUGCAGGAGGGGAAAGUGGAAUUCCUAGUGUAGCGGUGAAAUGCGUAGAUAUUAGGAGGAACACCAGUGGCGAAGGCGACUUUCUGGACUGUAACUGACACUGAGGCACGAAAGCGUGGGGAGCAAACAGGAUUAGAUACCCUGGUA